This 919-nucleotide ribosomal RNA is filed under the name Vaginatispora appendiculata. Its description in RNAcentral is "eukaryotic LSU rRNA". It matches the Rfam family "Eukaryotic large subunit ribosomal RNA", at positions 39 to 973 of the family's 3401-position model. Lineage: Eukaryota; Fungi; Ascomycota; Dothideomycetes; Pleosporales; Lophiostomataceae. The record is from RNAcentral.
CAUAUCAAUAAGCGGAGGAAAAGAAACCAACAGGGAUUGCCCUAGUAACGGCGAGUGAAGCGGCAACAGCUCAAAUUUGAAAUCUGGCCCUCUCGGGGGCCCGAGUUGUAAUUUGCAGAGGGUGCUUUGGCGUCGGCUGUGGUCUAAGUUCCUUGGAACAGGACGUCGCAGAGGGUGAGAAUCCCGUAUGUGGCCGCCAGCCUUCGCCGUGUAAAGCCCCUUCGACGAGUCGAGUUGUUUGGGAAUGCAGCUCUAAAUGGGAGGUAAAUUUCUUCUAAAGCUAAAUAUCUGCCAGAGACCGAUAGCGCACAAGUAGAGUGAUCGAAAGAUGAAAAGCACUUUGGAAAGAGAGUCAAAAAGCACGUGAAAUUGUUGAAAGGGAAGCGCUUGCAGUUAGACAUGCCUUUAGUUGCUCAGCCGGGCUCUUUGGCCCGGUGCACUCUUCUAUCGGCAGGCCAGCAUCAGUCUGGGCGGUCGGAUAAAGGCCUAUUAAACGUGACUCCCCUCGGGGAGAGCUUAUAGGGUAGGCGCCAUGCGACCAGCCUGGACUGAGGUCCGCGCAUCUGCUAGGAUGCUGGCGUAAUAGCUGCAAGCGGCCCGUCUUGAAACACGGACCAAGGAGUCUAACAUCUAUGCGAGUGUUUGGGUGUCAAGCCCGGGCGCGUAAUGAAAGUGAACGGAGGUGGGAUCCCCCCGGGGUGCACCAUCGACCGAUCCUGAUGUCUUCGGAUGGAUUUGAGUAAGAGCAUAGCUGUUGGGACCCGAAAGAUGGUGAACUAUGCCUGAAUAGGGUGAAGCCAGAGGAAACUCUGGUGGAGGCUCGCAGCGGUUCUGACGUGCAAAUCGAUCGUCAAAUUUGGGCAUAGGGGCGAAAGACUAAUCGAACUAUCUAGUAGCUGGUUCCUGCCGAAGUUUCCCU